RNAcentral lists this ribosomal RNA (468 nucleotides) under uncultured bacterium. Its description in RNAcentral is "partial 16S ribosomal RNA". It matches the Rfam family "Bacterial small subunit ribosomal RNA", at positions 28 to 523 of the family's 1533-position model. The record is from RNAcentral.
GAUGAACGCUGGCGGCGUGCCUAACACAUGCAAGUCGAGCGAUUCUCUUCGGAGAAGAGCGGCGGACGGGUGAGUAACGCGUGGGUAACCUGCCCUGUACACACGGAUAACAUACCGAAAGGUAUGCUAAUACGAGAUAAUAUGCUUUUAUCGCAUGGUAGAAGUAUCAAAGCUCCGGCGGUACAGGAUGGACCCGCGUCUGAUUAGCUAUUUGGUAAGGUAACGGCUUACCAAGGCGACGAUCAGUAGCCGACCUGAGAGGGUGAGCGGCCAAAUUGGAACUGAGACACGGUCCAAACUCCUACGGGAGGCAGCAGUGGGGAAUAUUGCACAAUGGGCGAAAGCCUGAUGCAGCAACGCCGCGUGAGCGAUGAAGGCCUUCGGGUCGUAAAGCUCUGUACUCAAGGAAGAUAAUGACGGUACUUGAGGAGGAAGCCCCGGCUAACUACGUGCCAGCCGCCGCCGUAA